CAGCAGCCGCGGUAAUACCGAGGGUGCGAGCGUUAAUCGGAUUUACUGGGCGUAAAGCGUGCGUAGGCGGCUUUUUAAGUCGGAUGUGAAAUCCCUGAGCUUAACUUAGGAAUUGCAUUCGAUACUGGGAAGCUAGAGUAUGGGAGAGGAUGGUAGAAUUCCAGGUGUAGCGGUGAAAUGCGUAGAGAUCUGGAGGAAUACCGAUGGCGAAGGCAGCCAUCUGGCCUAAUACUGACGCUGAGGUACGAAAGCAUGGGGAGCAAACAGGAUUAGAUACCCCCGUAGUCCCUGUCUCUUAUAC
This 301-nucleotide ribosomal RNA is filed under the name uncultured bacterium. RNAcentral's name for it is "partial 16S ribosomal RNA". It matches the Rfam family "Bacterial small subunit ribosomal RNA", at positions 509 to 807 of the family's 1533-position model. The record is from RNAcentral.